This is a long non-coding RNA of Dromaius novaehollandiae (emu), 1728 nucleotides long. NCBI's taxonomy places the organism in Eukaryota, Metazoa, Chordata, Aves, Casuariiformes, Dromaiidae. The record is from Ensembl.
AUAGUCACUUAGAAAAAUAAAUUAAAUGCUUUCAGGCCAAACUCUACUUCAGAGUACACUAGUGGAGAUCCAGAUAAAUACACAAGUUACCCUGAUGUGUUCAGCUUAACAACCUCUUGUGUGUUUCGUUUCUGACCCCUCUAAACCUUUUCCUUCUGGCAUUUAUGCUUCCCACUGUAGAAUAUCUACAUGAGAGCAAUCCUUAAGUUAAUGUAAGUAAACUCCAGCCCUGUCUCUAACUCUUUCUCAAGUGAAUGGACAAAGACGGACCUCUUUGCCACAUCUUAGGCCAAGAAUAAGUUAUAUAAUAUCACAGAGGCAUGCAGGCUAGGAGUGAGAUGCACCCUGUGAGACACUUAUGCACCUGCUCCUCUUGUUUGCUUGCAAUGCUUGGUUCCUGUGAGUAAAUGGAGUGUGAAAAAUAUUGUCAUAAUUAAUAAUUAUUUCAAUAGAAUUUUAAUUACAGAGUGGUAAUGGAAAGCUUUUUACAAAAUCUUUUGGUGUUCUUAAGCGUAAAAACACUUUUUGCUUUCCUCUAAUUUGAAGAUAUUCAUUAUGGGCUCCUAGACCAGUUCAUCAGCUGGGGUAAAAAGAAAAUUUGAACAGUUAGACUGAUUGAUUUGAACAUUUGUUGAACAAAGUACAGUUGUAGCUAUUUCAACCUUUUUUUUUUUUUUUUUUGGUAAAGGGAGAAUCUACCUUUUUAAGCUGUAACCCUUGACUAAAUAGGUUAUGAAUGGUCGAUAUUUAUAGUUAACUUUUGUUUUAUCUUUCAGCUUCCCCAGAGAAUAGGGAGGAUAUCAUCGUUACAGAGUGGAAGRAGGCUUGCUGUACAGCAGAGGUCCAGCUUGCAGUGCCCAGCAGCUCCUUGAGUUGCCACACUGAGUUGCCAGACAAAAAGGAUAAAAACACACUGCUCCCCGUCUCUGCGGAUGGAAAUGCCAUCAAUUCCUCGUCACCUUCAGUCAGCAAACGAGGCACCUUUGGCAUCACCACCACGUUUGUGGCUCUUGUGGGUUGUGCUGUAGUACUGGUAGUGUAUUGCAUUCUAAAAAAACGAAACCGUAAAGGUACAGUCUGAUAAAAUGCAUGUUUCCUAGGGGUAACUUGGCUUAGAAGCAACACUUGUAGUGAAAAAGGGAGCAUACACUGUUUUCUUUCUGGAUCUCAUCUCCAUUARAUUGUUUUUGCAGUUGCUAAAUGAUGUUGAUUGUGAAGGGGAGGCUGGGCUAAAAGCUGGCCUGAACUCCACCUCUGUGUCUGGCACCAGGGCACAGUGCCUAGUCAUCUGGCCUCCUCAGGAAAAAGACACACAGAGUAAAUUUCCUCCUUGCUAAAAUAAUACAGCCAGGUGGUUGCACCUCUCAGCCUUACCUCARCGUCAUCUAAUUCCUUAGAGUAGUCUCAGAUUGCAACAUUUCAACCCAGAAAGCAGCGCACAGGCUAUGGCAAACACUGGAAGUGAGGUGCGCUGUGCAGCUUUUCCAGUAGCAAUAUAUCACUGCCCAGGGGGGUGUUUGUUCUGCAAACUAGUAUGCAUGGAAAAGGCUGGGAGAGGCUCUAUGGAGUAAACAGGGAGUUGUAUGGAUAACAUGUUCUGGAAAUAACUGCUUUCCUCCACUGUGCCUUCCUCCACUGCUUCCCUCUUCCUCCAUAAAACGGAGACCGCAGUAUUCUUAAACUGACUUAAUGUUAAACCAUCUCUUACUUCGGAAAUUGUUGUGCUGC